CUUCUUCUUCUUCUUCUUCUUCUUCUUCUUCUUCUUCUUCUUCUUCACCGCUCAAAUCUCUUCCAAGUUUUCAUAUCAAUGUUAAUCGCAAUCUGAAUCCUUUUCUCGGAGAAGCUAGUGCUAAUUUUGAUUGAAAUCUGAAUUGCGCUCUAGUCAUCAGAUCUGGAGCAGGGGUUUAGUGUUGGGAGUGUUGGUGUUUGCUCUCGUCCUUGUAUUUGUCUAUGCAGACGAUGUUUUUGUGCUCACCGAAGAUAAGUUUGAAAAGGAGGUUGGUCAGGACAGAGGAGCACUUGUUGAGUUCUACGCUCGUUGUUGCCAGGUUUUCACUUUGUCGGGUGAUUCAUCAUGGCGAUCCAGCAAAGAUAAGAUGCACAUUUUUUUUUCUAAUUCUCGAUCUAUGUUUCUCAUACCACUUUUUUGUUACCAUAGGUGUGGGCGCUGUAAAAAGCUUGCCCCUGAAUAUGAAAAGCACGGUUCCAGCU
Non-coding RNA from Arachis ipaensis, 482 nucleotides. Lineage: Eukaryota; Viridiplantae; Streptophyta; Magnoliopsida; Fabales; Fabaceae. The record is from RefSeq and is a predicted model, not a curated record.